CUCAUGGGGAUCCCGCGACGCCCCGUGAGGCGACAGCCGAAUGUUCGUACCCUUCUGAAACCGAAAAACGGGGUACUUUACCAUG
This is a regulatory RNA element of 85 nucleotides. It matches the Rfam family "chrB-a RNA". The record is from Rfam.